This 294-nucleotide ribosomal RNA is filed under the name uncultured eukaryote. Its description in RNAcentral is "partial 18S ribosomal RNA". It matches the Rfam family "Eukaryotic small subunit ribosomal RNA", at positions 1470 to 1796 of the family's 1831-position model. The record is from RNAcentral.
CCCUUUGAUACUCUGGGCGGCACGCGCGCUACACUGGUUUAUAUAACGUGUAAUUUGGACGAUAGUCUGUAUAAAUCACUAAUAUAAAACCGUGAAUGGGAUAGUUUAUUGCAACUUACAAACUUUAACUAGGAAUCCCUUGUAGAAGUAGUGAAUUAUACUGCUUCGAAUACGUCCCUGCCGAUUGUACACACCGCGCGUCGUUUCUUCCGACUGGUACUCAUUGUGAAUUGCGAGGAGAUUCUGUCAAAUCGUUGUAAAUGCUGGGUAUUGGAGGAAGAAAAAGUCGUAACA